GCAGCUGCCUCUCAGAAGUCCUUCAGUGCCUCUAGGGUUUACUAAUUGGCCUCUAAUUCAGAGCAAAUUGGGGAGUGAUAACAAAGAGGAUGAAGAGAUUGGAAAUGGAGAGAAAGGAAGCUGGCCUUCUGUCAUGGUUUCUGUUGGGUAUUUUAUAAGUCGUAACUUUGGUAUGGUCGGUGGUUAAAUUUAACUGAACAUCGCUGAAUAUGACAAUAUAAUAGAAAUGGAUCCUUGGGGCAGAGACUACCUUUGGGUUCAACCUGGUUAUAAUGAAAUGGCGUUCACAGUGUGCAAAACCAAACACAAGGGCUGGGAUAAUACCUUAAUGUUUAAUGCAAUAUACAACAUGUUUGAGGACAAAUGCCAGCCAGUGAUAUCAAAACAAUAUAUUUAUCUUAAUUGAUCUUAGUCAAACUAUCCAUAAUUAUUUGUUAAAAACAUCACAUAACUGCCAAAUUUGGUGUCAUUUAAAUAAUAGCCUGUGAGGUAAUAAUUACGUAAGGUAGUAGAGUAUUAUUAUUAUAAGCAUAUCAACUGGUAAAAUCUGUUAUGUGAUCUAUGUUUUAAGUUGCUUUUUGCUUAAUUUUUGCCCAUCCUGACAUUCACUCAUACUGAACUAUAAUUUUCAAUGUUGAUAUACUAAUAUAAAAAUAUGGUUCUGCAGGGUGGUUGAAAUUGGUCAAUUAUAAGUUCAUAAUUUCCAUAAACUACAGGAUACCCUCCACAAAGCUCAUAGAUCCAAAGAAGAUAAACAAGAAAAAAGGCUCAAGUGCAGACACUUGACUCUCAUUUAGAAUGGGGAAUAAAAUAGUCUUGGAGGGAGAUUGAGGGAAGGAACUGGAUAGGAGAUGGAAGGGAGAAGAGAAUGGAUUACGUGUGGGAAGGGACAGGAUAUAUGGCCAGAUAGUCAUGAGAAGGAAAGGAAAUCUUGAACUUAUAGAGAUGAGGAUGUAGGGGAAAUCUCCAGGAUGAGAAAGAGUCCUGGGAUAAUGGAGGUAACCACGAAUUAAUGGAGGUUUCCUAAGCGGUGACUUACAUUGGUGAUAUGGAACAUG
This is a non-coding RNA of Rattus norvegicus (Norway rat), 1058 nucleotides long. The record is from RefSeq and is a predicted model, not a curated record. Lineage: Eukaryota; Metazoa; Chordata; Mammalia; Rodentia; Muridae.